Long non-coding RNA from Cucumis melo (muskmelon), 1393 nucleotides. RefSeq lists it as uncharacterized. Lineage: Eukaryota; Viridiplantae; Streptophyta; Magnoliopsida; Cucurbitales; Cucurbitaceae. The transcript is spliced from 4 exons. The record is from RefSeq and is a predicted model, not a curated record.
CCCCAGACAAGUGAGCAGCCACCUCCCCUGCAUCUGCAUAGUGACCAUGGAUGACAUAAGGCCAAAUUGGAUUUCCUCCUGCAACUUGUUCACCCAGAGCUCUUGCCAUGUUAGCAAUGUGGUUUAAAGCUCCAUCAACAAAUUCAGGGGGGAAAGGAAGACAUACUUAUCACAAGGUCCACAAGGAAUACGAAUAAUGUAGGCACCACAGCUACCAGUUCCGUCAGAUGGGCACGACAACAUCUCUACGGGCUCUCCGUAACUAUAAUCUACCUCAGGUGAGGAGAUCUGUCUAGUUAGGAGAUCAACCCGGUGCACCCCUUUUGUGUUGGCUAAAGCUCGAGCAAGUUCAACCACAUAUUUGACCUGAAAUUAAAGGAGCUACAACUGUAUUAGAUAGAUAGAAUCUCGUCCGAGUUCCAUGUUUUCUCCUCGCACCAGUCCAUGGAUACUGGAAGAAUCACAAACUUCAUAUUAGAAGUGCUAAUUUUACAGGAAGGAAUACAGUUUAGCCUCUUUUUGUAUAGAAAGAAAUCUUGAAGGCAAAAGGGAGAUUUUCUAUUAAUCAGGUACAAGUCUCAACUAUAUUGAUAUUAUUGCGUAUUGAUUAAGUUAUUAUACCUAUUCUAGCAUGCAAUACACUUGGAUAACCUUUUGGUUUCCUAACCGUUAGUUUGUAAUUUAACUCUGAGCAAAUAAAAGGGUUACACAUUUACAUAUAUAUUAUUCUCUUACAAAAAGUGGCCAAAAAAGAGGUAUGCUACAGUGAGGGAGAUGACGUUGCUUUGCCUUUAGAUUGGAAAGGAAUAUAUACUCUUCAUAUGUGUCAUGUUGUCUUUUCUUUUUCUCUUUUUGUUUCCUUUUUUAUUUAAUAAUUAGUAAUUCGAUUUUCUUUUCUAUUUAAUUUAUUUUUAACAGACAAAAAAUAGUGAUGGGAAAUUCAACGUACUGUAAUAAAUAAUAAAAAAGGUAAUUAGGAACUAUGAAUAAAAUAUGUUGAGGAAUACCAAGUACUGCCAUGCCAUGUAAGUAUACUACUAAUAACUUUUACCAUGCAUGCACUUUAAGUUACAUUUUGUUUAGCAAUAGUUGCACCUAAUUUCAUGCUCCCCAAAUUUAUGCACACAAAAAAACAAAAAAAUAAAAAAGUAAAAAAAUAAACUGUCAUCCUUGGGCUGCAUAGAGAUAGGUGUGGCCCAGGGAGCAUCCAAGUUUUUUUUUUUCCCCCAUUUUUCAGUUUAACUAUCUUUGUUAUGUGGCAAUUUUAAAAAAAAAUUAUCUGGUGUAUAGUUUAAUUUGAGGUUAGGCUAGCAAGAAAUGGGGAUGAUGCAAUGCAAGAUGUAGUCAAAUAUUUCACUUGGGAUAUGGUAUGAAGUAAAUUAAAAAAGAAAAA